RNA transcript from Otolemur garnettii (small-eared galago), 506 nucleotides. It is a transcript of the gene named 60S ribosomal protein L18a pseudogene, with no coding region annotated. The record is from RefSeq and is a predicted model, not a curated record. The transcript has a single exon. NCBI's taxonomy places the organism in Eukaryota, Metazoa, Chordata, Mammalia, Primates, Galagidae.
AUGAAGGCCUCUGGCACGCUUGGAGAGUACAAGGUGGUGGGGCGCCGCCUCUCUACCAUAUGCAGAUCUUUGCACCUAACCAUGUUGUGGCCAAGUCCUGCUUUUGGUACUUUGUGUCUCAGCUAAAGAAGAAGUCUUCAGGGGAAAUUGUCUACUGUGGGCAGGUAUUUGAGAAAUCCCCCCUUGCGGGUGAAGAACUUCAGAAUCUGGCUUCGCUAUGACUCCCACAGCGGAACCCACAACAUGUAUCGGGAAUACCGAGACUUGACCACUGCAGGCGCUGUCACCCAGUGCUAUCCGGACAUGGGUGCCCGGCACCGUGCCUGGGCCCACUCAAUCCAGAUCAUGAAGGUCGAGGAGAUUGCAGCCAGCAAAUGCCGGCGGCCGGCAGUCAAGCAGUUCCAUGACUCCAAGAUUAAGUUCCCACUGCCCCAACGGGUCCUACGUCGUCAGCACAAGCCAUGCUUCACCAAGACGCCCAACACCUCCUUCUAGGUGCAGGGCCC